UGCAAGCAGGUGGCUGAAACCUUCUUAUCUGACUCCCCCAUGCCCAGCACAGAGCCUGGCAUGGAGUAGGUGCUCGGUACCUAUUUGCUGAGUGAAUGAAUGAGUCUCAGUUUCCUCAUCUGUGGAAUGAGAAUCUUGAAGUGCCGAGAAUCUUACCCUACUCCUUAGACCGUUGUGCAAUUCAGGCCUCGGUUUCCCUGCACACUGGAUAGCUGCAGACUUCCUGAAGCCCCCGGCCUUGUGGAGCCUGGCAGAGGGGCUGCUGCCUGCUCACCCCAGCCCAGUGUCCCAGGGACAGCAUGAUGGAUGAGGAUGCUGGGGGGGCAGGUGUGACACGCCCACACAUGCUUGGACCAACCAGGCCACCUUUUUAGGGAGCCUCCUGUUCAUUCAUUCAUUCGUUCAACAACUAUGUAUGAGCAUCUACUGUACGUUGCAACAUAGGGAUGCAGGAUUGAACAAAAUUCAGCACCAGGCAAGAAAGAAGAACCCACAGUACGCUAGGCUGUGGUAAGUGCAAGCCAGGAUAAUAAAGUAGAGC
Molecule: long non-coding RNA, 541 nt
Organism: Molossus molossus (Pallas's mastiff bat)
Lineage: Eukaryota; Metazoa; Chordata; Mammalia; Chiroptera; Molossidae
Exons: 3
Source: RefSeq, a predicted model, not a curated record